GGUCCCGUGGCGCAAGGUAGUGCGCCGUUGCUGGGUAUUCCCCAGUAGACGGAGGUCCUUGUUCGAAUCAAGGUCGGAUCA
This is a non-coding RNA of Mycena vitilis, 81 nucleotides long. Lineage: Eukaryota; Fungi; Basidiomycota; Agaricomycetes; Agaricales; Mycenaceae. The record is from the annotation of a GenBank genome assembly.